Molecule: long non-coding RNA, 2066 nt
Filed under: Lepisosteus oculatus (spotted gar)
Lineage: Eukaryota; Metazoa; Chordata; Actinopteri; Semionotiformes; Lepisosteidae
Description: lncRNA (ENSLOCG00000022989.1)
Source: RNAcentral
ACAAUCAAAAGGAGAUGUUAAAUCCGAAUUGCAGAAUCAUUAACUUCAUUCACUGCCUGAAAGAGAAAUGCAGCCUGGAACCAGAAGGUAUGUUUCAAGUACAGUAACUGCUUUUUGGCUUAAAUAUAUUAUGUAUUGGUUUAUAAAUGUAAACAUCUAGUAGAUAAGAAUUACCCAAUGAGCACCACUGGUAAUAUUGGAUGUGACUGAUUUGAUCUCUAAACUGAUCAGGUUCAUCACACAUUCUAAAAAUCACAGUCAGAAUUAUUUUCAUUGACUACUGGAGGUGAUGUUUACCGUAUGUAACUUCCAGAGUUGGAAAUUUCGGACACCUAUUGCUGCUCAUAUCAAACAAACAAUUGUGGUAAAGGGGAUGAUUUAUUUGAUCAAUUUUAAAUUUAUUCCAUGGAUGGAACUCUGUGCUGAUCUGUGUUUGUGUAGCUCUUCGCCACCUCUCCAUUAGCCCAGGCGCUUGCCAGCUCCACACACACCUUGUCCUAUCUGCUCCUCUUCCUCAUGUGGAAUUCACUCUCUCCAGGCGUCAAUUAUUCAAUCAGUCCUGGGGUGUCUCAUUUAAACCGGCUUCUUCCUUCUUCAUCGGUGGUGCUCUCUCAAAGCCACCUCUUCCUCCCUCACAUGCCCUUAGCUGUGUGAGCACACAAAAAGAGAAUAGCAGUUCUACAAAUACCAUUUAUACCUACAGUUACUGAACAUUGCAAUGUGUGUGAGCCCCUCUGUUUCCCCAGAGUGUGUCGACCUCAUAGAUGAAGCAGGUGAGCUGAUGUGUUUCAGCGAGAGGGAGAGCUCCCCGGAAUUUGCCAGCAGUUUCCUGAAGGAGAGGCACAACUACAUCCUAAUUAAAGUCACGAGAGCAGAAGGCAGUGAAGGAAAUAAGUAUGAGCCUCUUUUGCAGAACACUGGGAAGAGUUACCCUGAUCUAGCAGAUCUUCUGAAGAAGCUGUCAAAUCCUCUCAAAGACAGGGAUAAGAGGAGCUCACUCUCGAAGAAAGCACGUCUGCUCAAAGAGACUCCAGCUACCCCACAGACAAAGAGCAAACCCACCCCCAGUCUGAGAAAGAACUCCAGUAUCACUUACCGGAAUUGACCAGGCCUCUCCUUGACACCAACCCAACUGCAGAAUUCAGCCACGCAGAGGGAACAUUGGAACCUUAGAAUAAAGGAGUGAAAAAGGGUAGGCAGAAGCUAGACUGUUUCAAAAUAAUAAAUAAACCACAUUAUCUUAUCCAGAAAGUCUUAAAGGCCUAUUGCAACAGUUAUUGUUAAACGUAGGGUAGAGUAACUUCCUCAAUUUCAUUAGAGACACCAUUUAAAGGGGCAUUGUCCAAGUGUGUUAGUUUUUAAUACCCAGUGUACACAGUAAUUACAUACAGUUGAUGUUUUUUUCUUAAAUGUGCUUUUGAGAGGCAAUAUAAAUUAAACAGUGGCCACUCAUCAUUCAACUUCUAGGUGCUAGGUGUUUUUUUUAUAGUAAUGCUAGCUUUCAAAGUGACCAGGGCCCUGUGUACGUUAUACAGAAGCAAUAACCGGGCAUUGUACUCUUAUGAAUAACCGAACACUGGCUGACUCUCUGAUUUCAUCAGUAUGCAUUGUCCUUCAUAUACAAAUGGCCUCGUGACCCUUUUCAGUCCUUAAAAAACAAUGCAUGAAGUGGAGAGUUAUUGGUCACGCUUGUUAGAAUUUCCUGGACAGAAACUACAUCAUAAACUUUCCGCAUGUGCUUUCAGCCUCACCCACUCCACCCACCUGCCAUUAUUUGCUAACAAGACCUUUUUAUAACAUGUUAACUAGUUUCCAUUGUUUUCAUAUGAAAUAAAAAAAACCUUAUAAAAUCUGUGUUUCCUGAUGGUUAAUGUCAUAUUUUUAAUGUGUCUUGUGCGAUUACCAAUCCUCUGCUCUGGGUGCCUAGUCUGUUCUGUGUCACUCCAGUGAACUCUUCCUGUGAAACAAGCUUCUGAAAAGAUUUUUGAAAUGUUGAAAACAGGAUCACCAAAUGGGGAAUACAUCGGUGUCAUGCCUUUCUUUUUCAACGGCAGUAAAACCUCAUU